This 232-nucleotide long non-coding RNA is filed under the name Elaeis guineensis (African oil palm). RNAcentral describes it as "long non-coding RNA (EGUI_LNC003941)". The record is from RNAcentral. Lineage: Eukaryota; Viridiplantae; Streptophyta; Magnoliopsida; Arecales; Arecaceae.
GGGUUGCUCUGAGUAUCUGUAUAAUAAUUCUUUUAAAGAUCUUGGCUCAAGUUGGCAUUGCUGAUGUUUUGAGCCUUAAGGAUUCUUUUAGGUUUGUUGUUGCCUCCUGGACCCCUGUGGUUUCCGAUUUGUGUAUAUAGGCGUGUGGGUUUCAAGGGUCUCUUGGGUUAGCCCUCGCUUCUUGGUUGUCGAGGUUUUCUUAUCGGUUAUUCUUGUUUGAAAGUGAGGCACC